GCCCUUGUAGCUCAGCGAGUCAGAGCACGUCCCCGGUACGGACGAGGUCGUGGGUGCGACUCCGACCGAGGGCCCCA
RNAcentral lists this transfer RNA (77 nucleotides) under Actinomycetota bacterium. Its description in RNAcentral is "tRNA-Thr". It matches the Rfam family "tRNA". Rfam says of the family: Transfer RNA (tRNA) molecules are approximately 80 nucleotides in length. Their secondary structure includes four short double-helical elements and three loops (D, anti-codon, and T loops). Further hydrogen bonds mediate the characteristic L-shaped molecular structure. tRNAs have two regions of fundamental functional importance: the anti-codon, which is responsible for specific mRNA codon recognition, and the 3' end, to which the tRNAs corresponding amino acid is attached (by aminoacyl-tRNA synthetases). tRNAs cope with the degeneracy of the genetic code in two manners: having more than one tRNA (with a specific anti-codon) for a particular amino acid; and 'wobble' base-pairing, i.e. permitting non-standard base-pairing at the 3rd anti-codon position. Lineage: Bacteria; Bacillati; Actinomycetota. The record is from RNAcentral.